GCUCUCUUGGCUUAGUGGUAAAGCGCAUCACUAGUACCAUUAGCGAUGAUGAGAUCACUGGUUCGAUUCCAGUAGAGAGCA
This is a non-coding RNA of Lithohypha guttulata, 81 nucleotides long. Lineage: Eukaryota; Fungi; Ascomycota; Eurotiomycetes; Chaetothyriales; Trichomeriaceae. The record is from the annotation of a RefSeq genome assembly.